This 1021-nucleotide long non-coding RNA is filed under the name Brachypodium distachyon (stiff brome). Its description in RNAcentral is "long non-coding RNA (BDIS_LNC000104)". The record is from RNAcentral. Lineage: Eukaryota; Viridiplantae; Streptophyta; Magnoliopsida; Poales; Poaceae.
ACUAUGGCCAGUGGGGCAGUGGCCGGGUCUUCUUGGUCGACAUAUCGGCGCCACCGAAGCUCAAAAACUGACCAACCAUUUCCUUUUUUUUUCCCUGGGAAGUGACCAACCAUUUCUACACAUAUGACGAUUUGGCAUCUUGAAUGGUUUGAACGGUGGUUGAUAUUAAUUUUUCUUUUCUUUCUAAUAUGUUUUUUUCAUGAAUCCACGUGUCAUCUUCUUUCUUUGUAGUCUUGGUACCCGUGUAGUACCUGUUACUUCUUCAAGUAACCACUACUUAGUUUUAGUAUUCAUCUCCUUUCUCAUUGGUCACUAACUAUUUCUUGAUACCCGUGAAGUACCCCUUAUCGAGGAUGCCCUUAGGCUGGUCAUAGUGGGGAGUAACAUGAGCCAGUAACAUGCAUACGUUACUAGUAUAUGUUAUUACUUCAAUAGUGGGUAGUAACAUAUUUGUGGUAACAUAGAAACCUCAUUUAUUAGUUCUAUAGACUCAUUGUAUUUUAGGAAAUGUGAUGUGAUAGUACCCAGUUACCUCAACCCUCUCUUUCAUCGUUAAUAACAUGACACAUCACCAAAAUUGUUUUAGUUGCCACAUGCGUUACUCUCGCUAGUAUUAAUGCAUCAGGCGCCGUCUUGGUUUCACGUGGCUAGUGGCUACUAUUCACAAGCAACGACAUGCAUCGUCGUCGUGACCUGUUGCGGUGUUGCUAUAAAAAAGUUAUAUUGAUUUUUAGCCAGAGAUCUCGAUCGUAUAAGCUUUACGUGGCGUUACGUGGACAGAGUAUAUUUUCUUUUCCGAAUAUAUAUCACGGCACGUCUCCUAUUUAUUCCGCGAAAGCGUUCCAUCGAUACAUGCAUCAACGUGUAGUGGAGUAAAAUAUUGCACUCUUAGCUAUCUAGCGUGGUCAAAGUUUGGCUCUUCCAUGUGAAACGGAUAAAGAUGGAUGAGACCGGCCUGAUCCUUGCUGGAUCGCCCGGUGCAGAUAUUUGAUCGUGACGGCGAAGGGUCAACUCCCAACCG